UACAGAGGGGGCAAGCGUUAUUCGGAAUUAUUGGGCGUAAAGGGCGCGUAGGCGGCUUUGCAAGUGACGGGUGAAAUCCCUCGGCUUAACCGAGGAACUGCCUGUCAAACUGCAUGGCUUGAGACCGGGAGAGGUGAGUGGAAUUCCCAGUGUAGCGGUGAAAUGCGUAGAUAUUGGGAAGAACACCCGUGGCGAAGGCGGUUCUCUGGGACGGUACUGACGCUGAGACGCGAAAGCGUGGGAGCGAACAGG
This 252-nucleotide ribosomal RNA is filed under the name uncultured bacterium. RNAcentral describes it as "partial 16S ribosomal RNA". It matches the Rfam family "Bacterial small subunit ribosomal RNA", at positions 524 to 776 of the family's 1533-position model. The record is from RNAcentral.